RNAcentral lists this long non-coding RNA (328 nucleotides) under Rattus norvegicus (Norway rat). Its description in RNAcentral is "long non-coding RNA NONRATT033897". Lineage: Eukaryota; Metazoa; Chordata; Mammalia; Rodentia; Muridae. The record is from RNAcentral.
CCCACCAUGUCAGAAUAGCAAUGAUCUCACAAUAGGAGGUGGUCUGACUGCCAGCACAGUCUGGAGACUUACUCAGAACCCCACCCAUCCUCAACCAUUACCACACUCACGUCAAGCAGGCUGGCACCAGCCCAGACUGUACUUUCCUCAGACUCCCAGGCCUAGUUCAGGUCAAGCAGAUGAACUUAAUUGGUGAGUGACCCACAGCUGUGAAUUCCUCUGCCAUCCUCAGAGUCUUUGGCCCAGCUGGUGUCAAGCAGCCUGGGCACCCAACCAGACUGGUGAGUGGUCAAAACCUUGCCUGCCUUCCCUUUUAAAUCUUUGUAGU